Molecule: non-coding RNA, 135 nt
Organism: Anopheles gambiae (African malaria mosquito)
Lineage: Eukaryota; Metazoa; Arthropoda; Insecta; Diptera; Culicidae
Source: Rfam
AGCUUGGCGCAGUGACAAUAUCGUAACUAAUGAGUUUUAUCCGAGGUGUGAUUAUUGCUAGUUGAAAACUAAAACCAAUACCUCGCCUGGAGGACGCGCAAUAUUGUUCGCUAUGGCAAAGAAGCGUUAUAACGC